AGUAAAUUGGUUAAGUUAGAAAGGGCGCACGGUGGAUGCCUUGGCACUAGGAGCCGAAGAAGGACGGGACUAACACCGAUAUGCUUUGGGGAGCUGUACGUAAGCGUUGAUCCAGAGAUUUCCGAAUGGGGGAACCCACUAUCUUUAGUCGGAUAGUAUCCUUACGUGAAUACAUAGCGUGAGGAAGGCAGACCCAGGGAACUGAAACAUCUAAGUACCUGGAGGAAGAGAAAGAAAAAUCGAUUUCCUGAGUAGCGGCGAGCGAAACGGAAAGAGCCCAAACCAAGAAGCUUGCUUCUUGGGGUUGUAGGACACUCUAUACGGAGUUACAAAAGAAAGUUAUAAAUGAAGCGGUCUGGAAAGGCCCGCCAAAGACGGUAACAGCCCGGUAGUUGAAAUAGCUUUCCCUCCAGAGUGGAUCCUGAGUACGGCGGAACACGUGAAAUUCCGUCGGAAUCCGGGAGGACCAUCUCCCAAGGCUAAAUACUCCCUAGUGACCGAUAGUGAACCAGUACCGUGAGGGAAAGGUGAAAAGCACCCCGGAAGGGGAGUGAAACAGUUCCUGAAACCGUGU
RNAcentral lists this ribosomal RNA (574 nucleotides) under Listeria monocytogenes. RNAcentral describes it as "partial 23S ribosomal RNA". It matches the Rfam family "Bacterial large subunit ribosomal RNA", at positions 1 to 561 of the family's 2925-position model. The record is from RNAcentral. Lineage: Bacteria; Bacillati; Bacillota; Bacilli; Caryophanales; Listeriaceae.